Molecule: transfer RNA, 68 nt
Filed under: bovine gut metagenome
Rfam family: tRNA
About the family: Transfer RNA (tRNA) molecules are approximately 80 nucleotides in length. Their secondary structure includes four short double-helical elements and three loops (D, anti-codon, and T loops). Further hydrogen bonds mediate the characteristic L-shaped molecular structure. tRNAs have two regions of fundamental functional importance: the anti-codon, which is responsible for specific mRNA codon recognition, and the 3' end, to which the tRNAs corresponding amino acid is attached (by aminoacyl-tRNA synthetases). tRNAs cope with the degeneracy of the genetic code in two manners: having more than one tRNA (with a specific anti-codon) for a particular amino acid; and 'wobble' base-pairing, i.e. permitting non-standard base-pairing at the 3rd anti-codon position.
Source: RNAcentral
GGGUAUAGCUUAGUUGGUAGAGUGGCGGUCUCCAAAACCGCAGGUCGCGGGUUCAAGUCCUGCUGCCC